This 728-nucleotide long non-coding RNA is filed under the name Phaseolus vulgaris (common bean). RNAcentral's name for it is "long non-coding RNA (PVUL_LNC001637)". Lineage: Eukaryota; Viridiplantae; Streptophyta; Magnoliopsida; Fabales; Fabaceae. The record is from RNAcentral.
UGCUUCAACUAACUCAUUUGCUUUAUUAGAUAAUUCCCCUAGGUGGACGUUUGAUCCGGGAGGGCAAGCAUAGUUGAAGAAGCAAGAGGCUGCUAUCCGAGAUCAAAUCUCUAGAUCUGAGGAUAGAUCUUCUCAAGGAGAAGGAGAUGAUGGACACCAUCCAGCCACAUCCAUUCCCCUAGCCAUGAAGAAGAAUAAGCAAUGGAUUUGAGGACAAAUCCUUUUCAAGAGGGAGGGGAUGAUGGAAGAGGCCCAAGCACAAGCCCACAUGCAAGCCCACCAAAGGGUAGAUUUGGGCCAACCAUAGAGUUAUGGCCAAGAGGAUCCAAGAAGACGUUCUUUUACAUGUUCAAAUGCCAUAAACUCUAGUGUAGAGUAGACUUUAAUUUCUUGUCAAAAUUAGCAUAGGAACUUUAUUUGUAAUUUUCUUAGAAUUAAUUUUGGCACCUAAAACACCAACCUCGGUAAACUAGAAAGCCCAUGGAGGGGGUGAACAUAAAAACUAGACACACCCCUCCCCAUGUGCUCAUUUGUGCACCCAUGUGCCAUGUGCACCCAUGUGCUUCAUAUUUACAUUUCAUUUGGCUAGCAUUAGGGUUGCAUUAUGGUCCUCCUUAGCCUAUAAAAGGAGGAGCCUACACCUUGUAUUUUCAAGUUUAAUUGAGUAAGGUUAUGCUGCCAUUUUUGUGCACAAGCUUUACUUCUCCUAGAAAUCUAGGCUCUAAACU